GGUUCUUCCCCCUCUCCGGGGCAGCCUCCCCGCACCCGGAGACCGCCGGGCCAUCCCUGUACCGUAAAUCUUGGGAACGCUGGAACUAAUUACGGAGAGGAUAUGUCUCAAUUUGUUCCGCAUUAGUGCCGCGCCGGGACGCAGGCACCGAGCACGGGAAAUUGAUGGGCCCGG
Ficedula albicollis (Collared flycatcher) is the source of this 174-nucleotide long non-coding RNA. It matches the Rfam family "WT1 antisense RNA conserved region 7". The record is from Rfam. Lineage: Eukaryota; Metazoa; Chordata; Aves; Passeriformes; Muscicapidae.